AUGGAUAGGGCGCCGGGUCUGGACGGCUUCCAUGGGGUGUUCUAUAGAUCCUGCUGGGCAACAAUCAAGGAAGAUGUUACGCUUGCCUUCAACCAAUUCUACUAUUGUGCUGGCCAAAACCUCCGUGACUUCAAUUCUGUUCUUGUUGCCUUAUUGCCGAAGAAGGACGGGGCUUUGAAAAUAUCAGAUUUUCGCCCCAUUAGCCUCAUCCACUCCAUAGCCAAGCUCAUUGCAAAAGUGCUAUCCAUCCCCCUGUCAAAGAUCAUCCACCUGAUUAUUUCACCUGCCCAAACAGCCUUCAUGAAGUAAAAAUGCAUUCAAGACAGUUUUAUGUAUGUUCAGAAUGGAGUCGGGUCACUGCACAGGAUGAACACACUGGAAGUGCUGCUGAAACUUGACAUCACCAGGGCUUUUGACAGUAUAUCCUAG
RNAcentral lists this ribosomal RNA (429 nucleotides) under Triticum aestivum (bread wheat). RNAcentral describes it as "partial small subunit ribosomal RNA". Lineage: Eukaryota; Viridiplantae; Streptophyta; Magnoliopsida; Poales; Poaceae. The record is from RNAcentral.